This 71-nucleotide transfer RNA is filed under the name uncultured Saccharofermentans sp. It matches the Rfam family "tRNA". Rfam says of the family: Transfer RNA (tRNA) molecules are approximately 80 nucleotides in length. The record is from RNAcentral. Lineage: Bacteria; Bacillati; Bacillota; Clostridia; Eubacteriales; Oscillospiraceae.
GCGGCAUAGCUCAGUUGGCCAGAGCGUCCGGUUCAUACCCGGCAGGUCGCAGGUUCGAAUCCCGCUGCCGC